Long non-coding RNA from Oncorhynchus tshawytscha (Chinook salmon), 350 nucleotides. Lineage: Eukaryota; Metazoa; Chordata; Actinopteri; Salmoniformes; Salmonidae. The record is from Ensembl.
ACCCUCUCUGGACCUGAUGUGUAGAAGAUGUGAGGUGUCUAAUGUAGCAGACCCUCUCUGGACCUGAUGUGUAGAAGAUGUGAGGUGUCUAAUGUAACAGACCCUCUCUGGACCUGAUGUGUAGAAGAUGUGAGGUGUCUAAUGUAACAGACCCUCUCUGGACCUGAUGUGUAGAAGAUGUGAGCCACGAACAUUUCUGAAACAGAGGAUCCAACUGCUUUGUGAAAAGCUUCAUGUACAGUUUUGAAGAUGUUUCUUAUGAAAGAAAUGUAAAAUUAACAGCCUGAUUUUUAAUUUGUGAUUUAUUUUGUUUUUAUGAAAAUGUAGAAGUGCAAUUUACAGUCUUUCUU